Molecule: non-coding RNA, 551 nt
Filed under: Pan troglodytes (chimpanzee)
Lineage: Eukaryota; Metazoa; Chordata; Mammalia; Primates; Hominidae
Source: RNAcentral
CAAUUACUCUAAUGAUUAAGAGCACUGAACAAACUGAUCACCAAUAUAAGGGCUGGCCUUCAGGUAGAAAGUGUGCCUUCCCUCUGUAUGUAGUUCAUGGUCUCUAGGUAUGAGGAGUAUUGGGGGAAAAUAAAUAUAAAUUACAUAUAUGUAUUUACAUGUGCAUAAAUAUAAAUAUAUGUAUAUAUGGAGAGAGAGAAAGAGUAUAUAUAGGUAUAUAUGUGUGCAUGUGUCUGUAUGUGUAUAAAAUGAGGCUCUUCUUCAAUACCUACCUAUACUCCUUAAUAACCUCUAUUUCUCCCUUGACCUACCUCACACCUUCCACAUGACUCAAGGUUCAUUAUCUUUGACUUUAUAAUUUUCUGUGUGUGUGGGUGUGUCAAAAACAUAUACAGCUAUAAAGAAACAUCCACACCUCCUUACCACUGUAUUUUGAGUUGUACUCAUGUUUAUAUGUCAGUCUCAGUUUAUUGUGUUCACCUUUGUCUAUACAGAAUUUAUUGCCCACUCUCUUUUCAUGGUCUGACGUCAAUAAAGUUCCCUCUUCACCC